UGGGGAAUUUUGGACAAUGGGCGAAAGCCUGAUCCAGCAAUGCCGCGUGUGUGAAGAAGGCCUUCGGGUUGUAAAGCACUUUUGUCCGGAAAGAAAUCCUUGGCUCUAAUACAGUCGGGGGAUGACGGUACCGGAAGAAUAAGCACCGGCUAACUACGUGCCAGCAGCCGCGGUAAUACGUAGGGUGCAAGCGUUAAUCGGAAUUACUGGGCGUAAAGCGUGCGCAGGCGGUUUGCUAAGACCGAUGUGAAAUCCCCGGGCUCAACCUGGGAACUGCAUUGGUGACUGGCAGGCUAGAGUAUGGCAGAGGGGGGUAGAAUUCCACGUGUAGCAGUGAAAUGCGUAGAGAUGUGGAGGAAUACCGAUGGCGAAGGCAGCCCCCUGGGCCAAUACUGACGCUCAUGCACGAAAGCGUGGGGAGCAAACAGGAUUAGAUACCCUGGUAGUCCACGCCCUAAAACGAUGUCAACUAGUUGUUGGGGAUUCAUUUCCUUAGUAACGUAGCUAACGCGUGAAGUUGACCGCCUGGGGAGUACGGUCGCGAGAUUAAAACUUAAAGGAAUUGACGGGGUCAUAGCUGUUUCCU
Molecule: ribosomal RNA, 586 nt
Filed under: uncultured bacterium
Lineage: Bacteria
Description: partial 16S ribosomal RNA
Rfam family: Bacterial small subunit ribosomal RNA
Source: RNAcentral